UAGGGGCGUUGGUGGUUAUGUUGUGAAUUUCGUCAAGGAAGUCAAAAGUAGACUAUUUUAAAGAUUAUCGAAGGUUUCAGAGAUCUUAAUAACAUCCAACAGUUAUGGCAGAUGAAGAGGCUGUUCCUGGCGCAGAGGGUCCACUUGUCGCAGUGACAUUUCAGAGGAAUCCUCACCAAAAACAGAAGUACCUGGAGUCUCAACCCAAAGCACUGGGGGUAAAACAUCACGUUCGUCGUAUGAAUCGGACCAAGGCGCAGCGUGCCGGUGACAAAGGUCCAAGUCCCUCCUGCUCAGCAAUGAGGAGAGAUGCCGUGUGAGGACCUAUUAAGACAUGCAAUCCAACCCCCUAACCAACCAGCAAAAAACAUUAUACUUGUCUUAUACUUCCAUCAACUGACAUAUUAUAGGCCUAUAUGCCUACACAUAUGUCAGACCGAUGGAUUUGUUAUUUUUAUUAAAAACUGCUUGGAAUGAUGUAGCCUAAUGUGAGUUAUAUUUUAAUAGGGGUCCUAGCAGGUUGGUGGAACUGUGAUGGAAAACAUUUUGUUGGUGCUUUUCUAUUUACCAAUUUCUGUGUUCUAUGUUUGUGCUUUCUAUAAACCAAUUUCUGUGUUCAUGCAAGUGACUGAUUAAACUAAUCCUCACUAUCAGUAUCUGCAAUUGGCAGUAUGCCCAGAACCUUGUUUAGAGAAAGGGAAAUCCCAGUUUCAAGGUCUCAGCUUAGAGAGAAGAAGCUUUGUGAGGUAUUGGUCUGUCACAUGCAUGACCCAGUAUUGGU
Salvelinus sp. IW2-2015 is the source of this 781-nucleotide non-coding RNA. The record is from RefSeq and is a predicted model, not a curated record. Lineage: Eukaryota; Metazoa; Chordata; Actinopteri; Salmoniformes; Salmonidae.